UUAUGGCUCAGGACGAACGCUGGCGGCGUGCCUAAUACAUGCAAGUCGAACGGCUUUUCUAUGGAAGCUUGCUUCCACUGAAAAGAUAGUGGCGAACGGGUGAGUAACACGUGGGUAACCUGCCCAUAAGAGGGGGAUAACAUCCGGAAACGGGUGCUAAUACCGCAUAGUUUUCUUGAUCGCAUGAUCGGGAAAGGAAAGACGGCCUUUGUGCUGUCGCUUAUGGAUGGACCCGCGGCGUAUUAGUUAGUUGGUGAGGUAACGGCUCACCAAGACGAUGAUACGUAGCCGACCUGAGAGGGUGAUCGGCCACAUUGGGACUGAGACACGGCCCAAACUCCUACGGGAGGCAGCAGUAGGGAAUCUUCCGCAAUGGACGAAAGUCUGACGGAGCAACGCCACGUGAGUGAAGAAAGGUUUUCGGAUCGUAAAACUCUGUUGUCAGAGAAGAACAAGUUGGAGAGUAACUGCUCCAGCCUUGACGGUAUCUGACCAGAAAGCCACGGCUAACUACGUGCCAGCCGCAGC
Molecule: ribosomal RNA, 528 nt
Filed under: uncultured bacterium
Lineage: Bacteria
Description: bacterial SSU rRNA
Rfam family: Bacterial small subunit ribosomal RNA
Source: RNAcentral